Molecule: long non-coding RNA, 386 nt
Organism: Cajanus cajan (pigeon pea)
Lineage: Eukaryota; Viridiplantae; Streptophyta; Magnoliopsida; Fabales; Fabaceae
Source: RefSeq, a predicted model, not a curated record
UCUCACUCUUCAAUCUUCAUUCAAAUCCUUUGCUUCUUCUGUUUUCUUUUCCGAUAAAACAAACAGGUUUUAGUUAUUACUGGAGAUGGCAAAGAUAUCUUUCACAGAAUAUUUUGCAUUAUUCCUUAUUAUUUCAGUUGUUUCAAUGAGAAGUGAAGUGGAUGCACAGACUCUAUGCCAUCAAACGGUGCAACCAAAAGACUGUGUCUUCAAUGUGUGUGAAAAGCGUUGCAAAGAGAUUUACAGACUCAACUUUGUUUCUGCAACCUGCGUUGAAGUCGGUUCAGCUAAUCAAUGUGCUUGUAUCUUUCGCUGUCAAACUGUUUAAGACGACCAACCUUCAUAUUUUAUCCAAAUUUUAUUAAUAAAUUGAAGUCUUUUUCGUU